GAUGAACGCUGGCGGCGUGCCUAAUACAUGCAAGUCGAGCGAACUUUUGGGAGCUUGCUCCCAAAAGUUAGCGGCGGACGGGUGAGUAACACGUGGGUAACCUGCCUGUAAGACUGGGAUAACUUCGGGAAACCGGAGCUAAUAUCGGAUAACAUUGAAUACAACAUGGCCUUCAAUUAAAAGGUGGCUUUUAGCUACCACUUACAGAUGGACCCGCGGCGCAUUAGCUAGUUGGUGAGGUAACGGCUUACCAAGGCGACGAUGCGUAGCCGACCUGAGAGGGGGAUCCGCCAAACUGGGAACGAGACACGGCCCCGACUCCUACGGGAGGCAGCAGUAGGGAAUCUUCCGCAAUGGACGAAAGUCUGACGGGGCAACGCCGCGUGAGCGAAGAAGGCCUUCGGGUCGUAAAGCUCUGUUGUUAGGGAAGAACAAGUAUCGUUCGAAUAGGGCGGUACCUUGACGGUACCUAACCAGAAAGCCACGGCUAACUACGUG
This 498-nucleotide ribosomal RNA is filed under the name uncultured bacterium. Its description in RNAcentral is "partial 16S ribosomal RNA". It matches the Rfam family "Bacterial small subunit ribosomal RNA", at positions 28 to 507 of the family's 1533-position model. The record is from RNAcentral.